Molecule: long non-coding RNA, 5593 nt
Organism: Nycticebus coucang (slow loris)
Lineage: Eukaryota; Metazoa; Chordata; Mammalia; Primates; Lorisidae
Exons: 3
Source: RefSeq, a predicted model, not a curated record
GUACCUGAAUGUAUGCUAAUGAUGGGUGACUUGGGGUGCACGUUUAUAGUUGGGGGGGGGCAAGGGACAGGGGCCAGAGUCCAAUCAGUCAUGCCUAUGUAAUGAAACCUUGGACAACUCUAAGGGUAUUCGGAGAACUUCCUGAUUGUGAAACACACGAUGUAAGGGACGGCGGGGGGCAUGGCCCUCGCCCUCUCCACAGGAUGCCACCCCUCCUCUCCCUCCCACCUUGCCCUGCCCAUCCCUUUCAUUUGGUGUUUCUAAAUCUUAUCUUUUAAAACAAAAUGGUACUUGUAAGUACAGCACUUCUGUGAGUCACUCCUGGCAAAUUACUUAAUCUGAAGGGGAGUUGUGGAAAUCUCUGGAUUUGUCUGUUGGGAAGACACAUGGGUGACCCCAGACCUGUGCUGGCAUCGGUCUUAUGGGAAUGAGCCUAUAACCUCUGGAGUCUAUACUCUAGGUAGUUAGUGUGAGCAUUGAUUGGAGCUCUUAGACACCCAGUUGGCGUUGGAGAAUUGUUACAGUGUACCAUUUGCUAAGUGGGUCAUUAUCUCAAAAAUUUGAGAACACUGCAGACAAGUACUUAGUACAAAAGAACAGACCUUGAAUAUAGAUGGAAGAUAGAUGUUGUGCUACUUUGAAGCACUUUGUCAAGUGAGAGAUAAAACUAUUGACAUUUUUAGAGUUGAAUUGUUCUAGGCCAUACAAAUAUUUACUAGGCUUUCUUUUCUUUUUUUAGACAGAGUCUCACUAUGUCUCCCUUGGUAGAGUGCCAUGGUUCAUAGCUCACAGUAACCUCAAACUCUUGGCCUAAACGAUUCUCUUGCCUCAGCCUCCCAAGUAGCUGGGACUACAGGCGCCCGCCACAAUGCCUGGCUAUUUUUUUUAAUCGCAGUUGUCAUUGUGUUUAGCAGGCUGGGUUUGAACCCCCCGGCCUGCAUGUGGCCAGCACCCUGUCCACUGAGCUACGGGCACUGCCACUAGGCUUACUUUUCAAAAGACAUUUUAUCUUCUUCUUAACCUUAUAAACAAUAAUGAAAAUUAUUUGGGGGUAGAUCCAUCUGAAGGCUCUCUCUUAGCUAAAUUAUUAUGUAUUUCCAUUAAGAUAAAGUCUUAGUGGAUAUUGAAACAAAAUAGCUGCUGCUAUCCAAAUAAGUAUGAAUGUAACACAUUAUGUUUCUUUCAACAGAUUUUUUUUUUUUUUUUUUUUGAGACAGAGUUUUACUUUGUCUCUCUUGGUAGAGUGCUAUGGCAUCAUAGCUCACAGCAACCUCAAGCUCUUGGGCACAGGUGAUCCUCUUGCCUCAGCCUCCCAAGUAGCUGGGACUACAGGCACCCACUACAACACUUGGUUGUUUUUAAGAGAUAGGAUCAUACUCUUGAUCAGUCUGGUCUUGAAUUGGUGAGCUCAAACAAUCCCUCUGCCUCUGCCUCCCAGAGUUCUGGGAUUAUAGACAUGAGCCACCGAGCCCGGCCUUCAACAGAUAUUCUUCUUGCAUUGAUUCUUUUGGAAGAGUUGAUUAUUUUUAUACUUGCUGCAUCUUUUUUUCUUUUUGCCCUCCUCCUUUAGUACACAACAUCUCCAGAUAGGAAAAAGCAUAUUCUUAGAAAUUCAUAUUCACAAUGGCAGAAAUACUCAAGACUUUGAAGGAACAAGAAGCAUCCAUUAUAAAAGGAAUGACAUCAUUCUGGAAGAUGGGGAUAAAAGAUAUUUCUGCUUUAGGACAACGAGUAGAGAAAAGAAGGACAACACCUUUGUUCUUUUAUUUUAUUUUAUUUUAAGAAGGGCAUCACCUUUGUUAUUUUAUUUUAUUUUAUUUUUUAAGAUACAACCUCACUCCAUCAUCCCAGGUAUAGUGCAGUAGCAUCAUCAUGGUUCACUAUGCCCUUAGAUUCCUGGGCUUAAGCAAUCCUCCCAUAUCAGCCUCCUAAGUAGCUGGCACUUCAGACAUGGACUACCACACCAGGCUAAUUCUUUUUCAAAGUUUGUAAAGACUGGGUCUUGCUUUUGCUGAGGCUGGUCUCAAACUCCUGACCUCAAGUGAUCCUUCUGCCUCGGCCUCCCAGAGUGCUAGAAUUAUAGGUGUGAACCACUGUACCCAGCCGGAAGCAUAUUGUUAAAUUUGAACAGGCAUGAAACUUCAAAGCAAUUCAUGUGUCAUAAUAUAACUUAAAUGUUUGUUAAAAGAAUAUAAAUAACAAGUAUUUUUUUUUUCUUUGUAGCAGCUGCAAAAGUAAUGAAGAAAAGAGCUAGUCAGUGUGUGUGGAUAUAGGGUUUUCCUCGUUAGGAUAGUCCUUAUCACAUUGUGGCUUUGUUCUUACCAAAUCAGAAUCCCCUAAUACGGCAUUAAUUUGCAAGUUAAAAUUUUAAUGAAAGACUUGUUUGCCCCACAGAUGCAAGCAGUGGUUUUAGUGUUACUUCAAAUGAGAAUAUUUACUGUAUUUCACUGAAUUGGUUUAUCAAAUCAUGAUUAAAAGGGUAUGACAUAUUUUUCUCAUUUUAAAAGAUGGCAAUUAUAGUCUUAGGAUGAGUAUUUAUAGGCUGCCUUUUGCGUUAGAGAAAACAUCUCAUGUUACCUUAAUAUUUUUAAACUAUAAGAGUCUCUUUUCAAAACACCUUGAGAAAAUUGUGAACAUGAAUAAAAUUAUACAAUUUUUAUUUGGCUAAUUGAAUAACACUUUAGUUCAUUCAAAGUGGUUCAUAGAGACUAUGAUAAUAAGUAGUUCAUUUAUUUUUAAUUGCUAAUUUAAUUUCAGCUGUAACACUUUUAUUUAGGAAAUGACACCAUGGGAGAAGAGAAAUAAAUGUAUAACAGUCUUCGAGAUUCCAUCAGGCACAGGGCUUAUGGCACUAUUCAGAAGAAAUGGGACAAUUCUAUAACUUUAACCUUCAAAUGUAAUGUAGUUACAUUUUUAUUACAUUUGUAAUACAAAUAUAUGUAUCUUUUCUUUUUCUUUCUUGUUUUUUAUUCUGAGAUAGAGCCUUACUCUUUUACCCUGGGUAGAGUGGCAGGGCAUCAUAACUCAGACUCAGACAAUAACCUGAAGCUCUUGGGCAUGAGCAAUCCUCUUACCUUAGCCUGCCAAGUAGCUAGGACUACAGCCAUCCACCACCAUCCCUGGCUAGUUUUUCUAUUUUUAGUAGAGACGAGGUCUCACUCUUGCUCAGGCUGGUCUUGAACUCCUCCUAGAGUGCUGGGAUUACAGGUGUGAGCCACCACGCUUGGCUUCCCCCUCCCACCUCCCACACCUGGCCUCUUUUAUUUUCUUAAUGGGUUAAAUGCAUUACACGAAGGGCUGGGCAUCAAAGCAGAAGUGGCCUGGUACGGAAGUCUGGGUGUUGGUUCUAUGUCCUGCUCUUAGACCAUCCAGCUCUAUGAGCUCCGACUUAGAAGUUAGUGUGGCAUUUCUGGAUUUCAGUUUCCUAUCCUUGGGAAUAAACUCAGGAAUCUCAGAUGUACUGCCCGGCUCCAAAUUUCUCUGAUUCAUUUUAUAAUCUUCAGGGUGUGCCUAGAACAGCAACAUAUGUUGGAUUGUAGUCACAAAAAUGGAUUCCCACUUGUAACUUUGAUGAUAAUUUUUCUGAAUUCCCAUGCAUUUAACUUUAAGGCAGGGUUAUUGGGCCCAGCGUGGUGGCUCACAUCUGUAAUCCUGGCACUCUGGGAGGCCGAGGUUGAUGAAUUGCUUGAGCUCAGGAAUUUGAGACCAGCCUGAGCUAGGGCGAGACACAUCUCUAAAAAAUAGCCAGGCAUAGUGGUGGCACCUGUAGUCCUAGUUACUUGGGAGGCUGAAGCAAGAGGAUCUCUUGAGCCCAAAGAGUUUGAGGUUGCUCUGAGCCAUGAUGCCAUGGUCCUCUACAGAGGGUGACAAAGUGAGACUCUGUCUCAAAAAAAUAAAAAAUAAGACGGAGUUAAUGCUGUGACAGCAGACACCAUUGGUGUCCUUCUCCAUAGCCCCUCUGCCCACCUUAGGCCUGGUGUGGUCUCCUCUGCUGCCCCAGGGCCUUUUUUGGUGCCACAGAAAUGUGUGCAGACCAGAAGCACCAGAGACUUAGUGCCCCCAGGUGAAAGCUUCUACCAGUGAGAGGCAGAAGUCUUCCCAACACGUGAUGGGAUAAUUCGGAGGCACAGCUCUUCUGUCGGUCUCCAGCGGGAUGGACCCCCAGCUGUCCACAGCACUAAUCUGCUCUUUAAUUCACCCUGGACUGGUAAAUGAAUUCCUUUCCUCCACAUCUCACUUUUCCAACUACUGCAUUGUGCUUCCUGGGAUCACCUCCCAAAUAAAUUACUUGCACAUAAUUUCUUAUCUCAGGUUUUGCUUUUGGGAAACCCCACUCCACCGUUGCUGUGAUGAUUAAGUUGAGAACGUGUGUAAUGAACCUACUAAAUCCUACAUGAGGAGCUCAGGACAUAGUAAUUAUUAUUAUCGUAUCUGACGAUUGAGACCGAAUUUCAUGCUUCCAGGAAUGUUUAGGUUGGGCGUCUAUAGUUAAGUAUUGUUUAUAUCCUGCUAAAGAAAAUUUACAUAAUUGUAUGACGUCUAGAAAAUGCAAAGAAAAUUUUGCAAGUGGGAAAAUUCUAAGUGUGAUUAAAAUUUUGGUAUAGAAAAAUAACGUUUGCUGAGGGAUUUUUUCAUUCUUUUACUUUCUUCUUUCUCUUUUUUGUUGUUUCCUACUGACAUCAAAGACAUCAUUAUUCUAUUUCUACAUGAAGUAUCAUGAAUUAAGAUUCCCUUGAAGAACAAGUGGAGGAGUAUUAAUAAUAUGAGACAGCCCGUGCGAGAGGGGGAAUCUCAGGAUGGCUGCUCUGAUUUUACAACUCUUAAUCAAGAAUAGGACAUUGGGAUCUCAGGACGGAUAACAGCCCGUGACCAAAGCAUUUAACUGUAUUGCAGAUGUACAAAUAAUCUCACUGAAGGAGGCGCUGACCUAGGUAACUUUGGAAGUGAGUGUAGUCUAUGCAGAAAUUUCCAAGUUCUUUGCAGAGUGGUCUUAGUACACCUAUGCUCAGAAAUAAUGAACUAUUAAAAAGUAAUGUUCUCUUGUGUCUUCAAAAAGAAUGAGUAAUGUUUGAGUACUUAUUUGUUCUUGCAGGAUUUUCAACAAUGUAAAAAAAAAUUAAAGAAAGAAAAAUAAAAUGCCAUUUUGAGCAUCACCUCAAUUAUGUAAAAUAUUCAGCAUUUUAGAGGAAAUACACCAGAGUAUCAAUGUGCCUUUCUCUGGCUCAUGUCUGUGAUCUCAGCGCUCUGGCGGCCAAGACGGGUUGGAUUACUUGGGCUCAGGAGUUUGAGAUCAGCCUGAGCAAGAGCAAGACCCAGUCUCUACUAAAAAUAGAAAAACUAGCCAGGCGUUGUGCCACACACCUGUAGUCCUAGCUACUUGGGAGGCUGGGGAAAGGGGAUGGGUUGAGCCCAAGAGUUUGAGGUUGCUGUGAGCUGUGAUGCCACAACAGCACUUUAUCCAGGGUGACAGAGUGAGACUUCGUCUCAAAAAAAAAAACAAAACUUUUCUUUGAGAAGUUUGGUUAUUAAAGAUUUGCAGAUUCUUUUAAAUAACUAGUGUACAUAUAAACUUAUACACAUAUAUAAUUUAUAU